GCCCCCGUAGCCCAACUGGUAGAGGCUGCGACUUCAAAACUCGUUCAUGUGUCGGUUCGAGUCCGACUGGGGGCA
RNAcentral lists this transfer RNA (75 nucleotides) under Gloeobacterales cyanobacterium ES-bin-313. It matches the Rfam family "tRNA". From Rfam's summary of the family: Transfer RNA (tRNA) molecules are approximately 80 nucleotides in length. Their secondary structure includes four short double-helical elements and three loops (D, anti-codon, and T loops). Further hydrogen bonds mediate the characteristic L-shaped molecular structure. tRNAs have two regions of fundamental functional importance: the anti-codon, which is responsible for specific mRNA codon recognition, and the 3' end, to which the tRNAs corresponding amino acid is attached (by aminoacyl-tRNA synthetases). tRNAs cope with the degeneracy of the genetic code in two manners: having more than one tRNA (with a specific anti-codon) for a particular amino acid; and 'wobble' base-pairing, i.e. permitting non-standard base-pairing at the 3rd anti-codon position. The record is from Rfam by way of RNAcentral. Lineage: Bacteria; Bacillati; Cyanobacteriota; Cyanophyceae; Gloeobacterales.